Molecule: long non-coding RNA, 516 nt
Filed under: Cavia porcellus (domestic guinea pig)
Lineage: Eukaryota; Metazoa; Chordata; Mammalia; Rodentia; Caviidae
Description: lncRNA (ENSCPOG00000033063.1)
Source: RNAcentral
UUCACAUCAUAAUACCAUGGCUGGCAAACUUUUCUUCUGUUGCAUGUUUGGCCUAAAGUUUUGGGCAGAAGUGUCUUUCUGAAGGAUUACUUUCUCAUGACCAUCUCUCAUGACCAUCUGGGAAACAUCUGGACUUGACACUCCUGACCUGGCAUUAUGAGGAGGGUGAUGAUGGUGCUUGGAAGAUACAUUGCAAAAGAUCAGGUUUUUUAUCUCCUUGGGUUUACAAAUGGAGGCAGUGCUUAUUCCUGUAACUCCCUAGCCUGCAUACUUGGAAUAAAUCACGGGUCAAAGGCAAGCAAUUUCUCAACAUUGGUCUGUCACAGCUUCCUUACGAACCACAAGCAGGGAGCAGGGAUGAGCAAUAUCACAGGGUUCCAAUAUCCUUCUGUCAGCAAUGUGGCUUCCAGGCAUCUCAUCUGGUCACUGGCUGGGGCUAGGACAAGCCCUUAGAGGACAGCACGGCACCUGUUGAACACAUGUUCACUGCCUGCAGAGUCUGUGGUGGAGUGAGGC